Molecule: ribosomal RNA, 94 nt
Filed under: Anaerococcus sp.
Lineage: Bacteria; Bacillati; Bacillota; Tissierellia; Tissierellales; Peptoniphilaceae
Description: partial 16S ribosomal RNA
Rfam family: Bacterial small subunit ribosomal RNA
Source: RNAcentral
UUUCAUGAGAGUUUGAUCCUGGCUCAGGAUUAACGCUGGCGGCGUGCAUAACACAUGCAAGUCGAACGAUGAAACUUUAAUGAACCCUUCGGGG